GACGAACGCUGGCGGCGUGCUUAACACAUGCAAGUCGAACGGAAAGGCCCUGCUUUUGUGGGGUGCUCGAGUGGCGAACGGGUGAGUAACACGUGAGUAACCUGCCCUUGACUUUGGGAUAACUUCAGGAAACUGGGGCUAAUACCGGAUAGGAGCUCCUUCUGCAUGGUGGGGGUUGGAAAGUUUCGGCGGUUGGGGAUGGACUCGCGGCUUAUCAGCUUGUUGGUGGGGUAGUGGCUUACCAAGGCUUUGACGGGUAGCCGGCAUGAGAGGGUGACCGGCCACAUUGGGACUGAGAGACGGACCAGACUCCUACGGGAGGCAGCAGUGGGGAAUAUUGCACAAUGGGAGGAAGCCUGAUGCAGCAACGCCGCGUGCGGGAUGACGGCCUUCGGGUUGUAAACCGCUUUCGCCUGUGACGAAGCGUGAGUGACGGUAAUGGGUAAAGAAGCACCGGCUAACUACGUG
Molecule: ribosomal RNA, 468 nt
Filed under: uncultured bacterium
Lineage: Bacteria
Description: partial 16S ribosomal RNA
Rfam family: Bacterial small subunit ribosomal RNA
Source: RNAcentral